AUUGAACGCUGGCGGCAGGCCUAACACAUGCAAGUCGAGCGGUAGCACAGAGAGCUUGCUCUCGGGUGACGAGCGGCGGACGGGUGAGUAAUGUCUGGGAAACUGCCUGAUGGAGGGGGAUAACUACUGGAAACGGUAGCUAAUACCGCAUAACGUCGCAAGACCAAAGUGGGGGACCUUCGGGCCUCAUGCCAUCAGAUGUGCCCAGAUGGGAUUAGCUAGUAGGUGGGGCAAUGGCUCACCUAGGCGACGAUCCCUAGCUGGUCUGAGAGGAUGACCAGCCACACUGGAACUGAGACACGGUCCAGACUCCUACGGGAGGCAGCAGUGGGGAAUAUUGCACAAUGGGCGCAAGCCUGAUGCAGCCAUGCCGCGUGUGUGAAGAAGGCCUUCGGGUUGUAGAGCACUUUCAGCGGGGAGGAAGGCGAUAAGGUUAAUAACCUCAUCGAUUGACGUUACCCGCAGAAGAAGCACCGGCUAACUCCGUGCCAGCAGCCGCGGUAAUACGGAGGGUGCAAGCGUUAAUCGGAAUUACUGGGCGUAAAGCGCACGCAGGCGGUCUGUCAAGUCGGAUGUGAAAUCCCCGGGCUCAACCUGGGAACUGCAUUCGAAACUGGCAGGCUAGAGUCUUGUAGAGGGGGGUAGAAUUCCAGGUGUAGCGGUGAAAUGCGUAGAGAUCUGGAGGAAUACCGGUGGCGAAGGCGGCCCCCUGGACAAAGACUGACGCUCAGGUGCGAAAGCGUGGGGAGCAAACAGGAUUAGAUACCCUGGUAGUCCACGCCGUAAACGAUGUCGAUUUGGAGGUUGUGCCCUUGAGGCGUGGCUUCCGGAGCUAACGCGUUAAAUCGACCGCCUGGGGAGUACGGCCGCAAGGUUAAAACUCAAAUGAAUUGACGGGGGCCCGCACAAGCGGUGGAGCAUGUGGUUUAAUUCGAUGCAACGCGAAGAACCUUACCUGGUCUUGACAUCCACAGAACUUUCCAGAGAUGGAUUGGUGCCUUCGGGAACUGUGAGACAGGUGCUGCAUGGCUGUCGUCAGCUCGUGUUGCGAAAUGUUGGGUUAAGUCCCGCAACGAGCGCAACCCUUAUCCUUUGUUGCCAGCGGUCCGGCCGGGAACUCAAAGGAGACUGCCAGUGAUAAACUGGAGGAAGGUGGGGAUGACGUCAAGUCAUCAUGGCCCUUACGACCAGGGCUACACACGUGCUACAAUGGCAUAUACAAAGAGAAGCGACCUCGCGAGAGCAAGCGGACCUCAUAAAGUAUGUCGUAGUCCGGAUUGGAGUCUGCAACUCGACUCCGUGAAGUCGGAAUCGCUAGUAAUCGUAGAUCAGAAUGCUACGGUGAAUACGUUCCCGGGCCU
This 1361-nucleotide ribosomal RNA is filed under the name uncultured bacterium. RNAcentral's name for it is "bacterial SSU rRNA". It matches the Rfam family "Bacterial small subunit ribosomal RNA", at positions 28 to 1381 of the family's 1533-position model. The record is from RNAcentral.